Molecule: transfer RNA, 76 nt
Filed under: Flavobacteriales bacterium
Lineage: Bacteria; Pseudomonadati; Bacteroidota; Flavobacteriia; Flavobacteriales
Description: tRNA-Pro
Rfam family: tRNA
About the family: Transfer RNA (tRNA) molecules are approximately 80 nucleotides in length. Their secondary structure includes four short double-helical elements and three loops (D, anti-codon, and T loops). Further hydrogen bonds mediate the characteristic L-shaped molecular structure. tRNAs have two regions of fundamental functional importance: the anti-codon, which is responsible for specific mRNA codon recognition, and the 3' end, to which the tRNAs corresponding amino acid is attached (by aminoacyl-tRNA synthetases). tRNAs cope with the degeneracy of the genetic code in two manners: having more than one tRNA (with a specific anti-codon) for a particular amino acid; and 'wobble' base-pairing, i.e. permitting non-standard base-pairing at the 3rd anti-codon position.
Source: RNAcentral
CGGGGUGUAGCGCAGUUGGUAGCGCACCACGUUCGGGACGUGGGGGUCGCUGGUUCGAGUCCAGUCACCCCGACCA